RNAcentral lists this long non-coding RNA (8686 nucleotides) under Homo sapiens (human). RNAcentral describes it as "non-protein coding lnc-ITGA4-1:2". Lineage: Eukaryota; Metazoa; Chordata; Mammalia; Primates; Hominidae. The record is from RNAcentral.
CUUCUCCCCACGCCUUGCUCGUCUCCCGCCCUCCUCCGACAACCGCUCCCCUCACCCUCCACCCCUACCCCCGCCCCUCCUCCUUCCUCCCCGGCAUGCGCCAUAUGGUCUUCCCGGUCCAGCCAAGAGCCUGGAACCACGUGACCUGCCCAUUUGUAUGCCGCGGAGCGCUCCAUUCCGGCCCCUUUGUGGCCAGAAGAAAGUGGCCCAUCUGUCGCCAGUUAGAGACUCCGCGGACCUGUUUUUACCCGCAGGAGAGAUUAACCCUUUCAGGCGGCAGAAGGGACGGGGAUAGAGGGGGGAGGGGAUUUGAGGGAAGGAAGGGAAAAGCUAAUGUUAACUAGGUCUAGAUCAGAGCGAGUGGCCUGCUUUCGCGCCGGAAGUAGGACAGAGGUGAAAGAGGCAGAAGCGGGGAGACUGAGGCACGCAGUGAAGAGUCCUCGCUCCUUUCGAUUUCUUGUCCUGACACUGGCAUCCAGAGCAGCAUGACUCCUUGCCCUCUCUGAAAGGCCCAUCCCUUGGCUUCUUCUCCUUGGCAGACGCUUUGAUCAUUGGCGCCAAAGGAUGGCUUCUCCUAAUCUCCGUCGGCCCCUCUAAGCAAACAUAUACGCCAUAUAAAAGCGGCUUCAUCUGUAAACGCAGCGUUGAGAUUAGUUCCCCAACCUCCCUAACCGGAUCGUCCUCUCCCAGUUCCUUCAGUACAGAAAAGUUGUACCUGCCAUUCUAUCCCUACCAUACGUGCAAUUCUUCAUGUCCUGACCUUCAGCUACGACUGUUCCUCCAGACCCUCUCACUACGUCAGUCCCCACCUCCAUCCCCAGGAUCUUGUCCUCAAAGCGAGCUAGUUCUCGCGAGGAGGCCUUGGUUCCAUUGGCCUUUGCGCUCUCUUAUGUGGGAGCUGGGGACUUCUUUGACGGUUGUAUUCUGCCUUUUAACCAUGGCCACUGGGUUGCUGGAAAGGGCACCCUCACUCAGCCAGUCCAGGGACGCUUCUGGUUCCCUGGCCAGCCCGCCCUGGACGGCCUCGGCUCUCUAGUCCAGGCAUUGACCACAAGUACGGUGGUGGACACCUCGCCACAGCCGGACCUGCGCUCUUGCUCCCCUCAGUCUCGGAAACGCCUUUAGCACAACCCCGGAAGGAUUAAUGGCUGCGAACUCCUCCAGACUUCAAAGCCUCUGAUUUGAAACUCCCAACUUGAAGGUCAAGCAAAGACCACAGAAAUUCUCGACCAGUUCUGAAGGAGCCAUAUUGUUGCCCAAAUAGCAAUUCUUUACUCUUUUCGAACAAGGGUUUUCCAGAAUAAUAGAUUUUAAAAAGAAAGAAAGAAACUGGCCUGUCUACUCGUUCUUUCCCAGCUUUGCCUCUAAUCCUUCAUUAACUAACUCCUUACCCCCUCCCAGACCUGAAACCCUCUGCAAUAAAUACCUCUUACGUGAAUUGCUUAUUUAAAGGCAAUUGCACUAAACAUCCCUCGAGUUUGCAAACAGCGACAGGGUUGAGAGGCUGGAUUGGGGUGCAUCUGGGAGAGGGUGGGGACGGGAGGAGAGAGUAGGGGUAGAGGAAGAGGGUCCUAGCCAGAUCCCCGGUGUCUGAAGGUAGCAGGUGCAGCCUUCCCUGCACAGUACUAAUCUAAAAGGGGAAGAAAAGAGUUGUGCCACCGAAGCGUGGCGUGAAUCGUUGUGGGGUUCUGGAGUUUUGCUUGCUUUUCUACAUUCACUUGGCUGACAAAGCGCAUAGGGGAGGAUAAAAUAAUUCACCCAGGAGCCUGGGCCCAGGAUUUACCCCUGUACUGUCUGUAUCUUCAGUGUUGGGCUAAAACUCGAGGGCGUCGGAGUACUAGCCCUUAGAAGAUAGUACACAGCCCGACGUUUGCGGCAGGGCCAGGUUAAGUACUGCCCCUCACCCGGCAGCUGCCCCGACUGGCAGCACACUAUGCCGCAGGCAUAUGCAACUCGUGCCUAGGCUCUCAUUUUUCCAACUUUGGGGAGUUCCGGAGGAGAACUGGGGACGGAGUGGGAGAAAGGACUCCAGCUAGCUUCGAGGUCAGGGGUAGCCUAGAGGUCCCUCUGCUAAAUCCUUGUCCUCACCCCCAGAAAGCAGAAACCUCCAGUUCGCGACAUCCUGUGCAAUACAGGAGAAUUAUGGUGGAGUCAGAUGUUCUUGAGCAAGAGGGACGCCCGAGUGUUUUGCCAGACGGAGACUCAAAUGCGUAAAGUGCGGGAAUUACUAGUCUGUUUCCUCCCUCUACCCUUGAUAAAUUCAUCUCUAAUCCCACUGCGCGUUGUUCGCUCAGGCCUGGAGAUUUGUACAAAGGAAAGGCCACUCCAGGAUGUUUCAGAGACAGGGCUGAGGUUGGGUCUCACGGUAGCUGUCCUUGGGCUUCCCAUCCCGCAGCGCUCCGAUGUGACCCUCCUCUGCGCGGAAAAUUUCGACCCGGGGCGCCGGCAUCGCGACGCUCAGCCAGUGCCCGCGAGGCUCCCAGGAGAUGCGGGGUAGUAAGGCCCUAAAAAGAGGAGCCUGGACACGGCCUGGAUUGAGGUGCGUUUUGUUUGGGGUUGAAGGCGCGAGAAAUUGGGGCGAGAGAAGAGAGUCAGCCGGAUCCCGGAGAGGACAGAGCUGAAGGCGCGGCGGGGCUUAGCACUGAGGACCUUCUCCGCGGCCCCGCUCCUCCUCCUUAUUUUCUUCUCUUUGGACUUGUUUGGACGGUUGCACACUUUUCCCCCUCCUGAUUCCCUAAGUUUUUUGUCUCUCCCCUCGCUGCCCGUUAGCUGUACUCCCCCAGCUCCCGUCCCUACUGGGCGCUGCAGGCUACCCAGCGGCACGCGAACCGCACGCGCGGACAACAAAAGCCUCUUUCAUGACUCACUGCCCUCGAGCAAUGCCCCAAAUCUGCCGCCUCCCGGGUCCCCGCUCUGAGCGCGCGGCGCGGGCCGGGCGUCCCGGCCGUUACAGCGGCAGCCGGAGCGCCCGCGGGAAGGGGGGCGGGAGGAGGCGUGUGGCCAGGGGUGGGGAGAGGGGAGUGUGGCCUGGGCCGGGCGGAGGGGAAGGGGGAGGCAUGUGGGAGGAUGGGGGUGGGGAAGGGAUGGAGGCGUGUGGCCCGGACGUAGGGGGUGGGAAGCGUGUGGCUGGAGGCGAAAGCGGGGAGCGGGAGGUCGGGGGCGAAGCAUUCACAGGGCCAAGAUAAAGCGCAGGGGCCGGGCCGGCGUCCCUGGCGGUGACCUGUUUCUCAGGGAAACAGAUGCUCGCUCUUGCAAAGGGAGGUUUGCGUUCAAUGAAAGGAUCAAGUGUGGCCAGGGCAGCCCGGCCGACCUCGAGAGGUUCCCGCGUCCUCUCCCCGCCCUGCCUAGGAGUGGGGUGUCGGGGCCUGGGCGCGGGAGAGCGGAGUGAGGGGGCCGGGUGGCUGAGGGGCCCGCGAGACCGUGGGGCUCAGGGGCCGCAGGAACGGAGGGCUGAGAGCUGCAGGUCCUGCACAGGCUGGGUAGCUCGGAGGCUCUUGAGAGCUUCGGGGGAUGAAGGGGGGUUGAUGCGGGUUCUGACCAGACCGCCGACGCGGCGCCUCCGCCCCGGGGGAGGCAGUUGGGCUCCCGGGUCCUGGCCUGAGGCUGGAGCUGCCCAGGCUCGACAGGCAGGCGACCCGGGAGAGCCAAGAGCAACGAGAGACGCUAUUAAAAUGCCUCGCCGUCGCCCCGAGCGCAAAACCCAUCCUCCCCAAAUCUCCUGGGCUUGCGGCAUAAUCUUAAUUAAGAUAAUUGAUUCAUAUUGCACCUGCGAGAACGGAAAAAAUUGAUUUCAACCCCCAACCCCACAAAUCGCUUAGAGCUAUUGGAUGGAGCACGACGCGACUGUGAUUUAGGGAGUGAUUUAGUGCCGGGCUUCCCCAGCUCGGCCUGCCUGGGCCUUUUUAUUUAUUAUUUAUGCCCUCCCGGUCCCGACGGGGCUUUGGUGGCUCCUUUGUCGGCUCCCACAGGCCUUGGAAGGACUUGUCUCUGAUUCCCUGUCAGGAUCCAGGGGCUUUCCUUAAACCAUCCAACACUCAGAAUCAACAACGUAAAAUCAACUCAGUAGGAGUAUCUUGGCAGUCGUAGGUCACGGGCACAAUUGCUCAAGGCCUCGUGCGUCCGAUGCCCUGUGUGUGCAAAAGUGUGUGAUUGCACUUGAAUGUACGUGUGUGAAUCCGUGUGUGUGCAAGAUUAUGUGAAUGUGUGUGCAAAUCGUGUGUGCAUAUAAUGAGUGUGUGAUUGUUAGUGUGUAUGUGAACAUAUGAGUGUGUGCAGGUGUGUGUCAAUGAAUGUGAAUGUGUAUGUGAAAGUGGGCAUAAGUGGAUGGGUGUGAGAGUGUUAAGUGUAUGUCCACGGUCGCACCUGCUUUCGGGUGAGGAGCGUGAGCAGAGGGCGCACACCUGUUUCCCGGGGAUCGAGGAACAGCUUGCUGUCCAAAGGGGAUCGCAGGGCCAGGGAACUGACAAGCACACGCUAUUUGCCAACCUUUGCCUUAAUAGAAAGAAGCAAGCAAACAAAAAUCCUCGGUAGCUGUGUGUAGCUUCAGGAGUGGAGAGCCGAGACACACCGACGGCGCCGGAGCGUCGCAAGAACAAUGGUUGCUGCAGUGGGUUGGGAGAGAGGACCCGGACAAGUUCCUAAAGGCACGGGAGGAACGCGGGCAAACCAGGUUUAGGGCCCCAGGCGAAUUGUGGAAGGAAUGACUUCCUCAACCUAUCAGCACCGUGGACAAUUCCCACUCCAACGGCCCUGACCUUCGGCCUACUAGAUUCAGCAAAAAUCUCUCUUCCUCCCUUGCUUCCUCCUUUCCUUCCUCCCUUCCUCCUUUCCUUCCUGCCUUCCCUCCCUCCCCUUCCUCCUCCUUUCCUUCCUUUCCUCCCUCCCCUUCUUCCUCCUUUCUUUCCCUUCCUCCUUUCCACUCUUCCCUGUUUGCUUUGUUUCAAAAACAAAAACAAACAAACAAAAAACAUGGGGCGCCAUGACUGAGCUUUUAGUCAAAGAGACCUGUAAGUCUGCAUCUAAUUAGGCACAUAUUCACAGUAAGUUUCCUAUAAAACUAGGUAGCCAGAUUUAGGGGCAAGGAAAGAGCUUAAACUAUAAUUUGAGCUGGCUAGUCUGAAACAAAGACAGAAAUCAUAAAUUGAAUAGCUUUCAAAAAGAUAGUCAUUAUUCCAAUAUUUGCACUUAUUUGCCACACAGCUUCAAAACCAAAAUGAAUUUCUUGUUUACUGUCCAUAGAAAUAAUAAAAUAUCUCUAAAAAUGUUUUUGAUUUUGCUUGUGUUUUAUGGAGUAUAAGUUUUAUUGAAAAUAUAAAAUCUUUUUCACCACCACUUUAUCAACAUUUCAGUUAUUUCAUACUGUAAACAAUUUCUGGUAAAUUCAUGAAAAAAUAAGCCAACAGAAGUUAAAUGGCAUUAUUCACUCAGAUUCAGUGAGCCACACAAUUAGCUAAAUCAUGCCAGAUCUAAAAUAUUGCAUAAUGAGUAGUCAUAACUUAUCCAGCAUAUACUGGAAAAGUCUAGUAAAGACAUAACUGAGAAGAGAAAGCUCCUUUGGUACUUUGAACAUCUGAGAAAUAUAUACACCAUAUCCCCCUCCCCCACCACACACUUAUUGAUGUAAUUUUCAAAACAUCAUUAUUAUUAGUAAACAGAAUCCUUAUCAAGUAUUAUUCACACUUCACUGUAAUGAGAAAUAUAAUCAUUUUUGAUUAAAGAAUUCAUCCCUGGAGUCUCACCUUCUUUAAAUAAAAUGUCUUCUUUCCUUUAUAACAAAUGCAUUUCACUCAAAUUAAAUAUUGAUAAUUUGACCUUUUAUGUCUUUAACUAAUCAAAGGGGGAAAAUUCCAAAUGUAGAUCUCGGAGUUUGGCCUUGGUGGGUCUUUCCGCUUGAGUAGGCACUGAGAUUAAAGGAGUCAAACUUCCUCUUUCACUGCUCUCUCCUUGCACUAAUUGCUUAUGCAAAAAAUGCAGAUUUGUAUUAAUUAGUAACUCCACUGAUUAGUUCUGUGGUAUUUUCACAUAAUAAAUCAUGCUGCAGACAUGAAUUUUGGCACAUCACCCAGUGGUGGCUCGGCUGCAAUACGGGUUUCUUAUUAAAAUAAAAUCUCUGACUAAAUCUACCUUUCGGAUGUAGGUACUGUGAGCAGCCACCUGCUGGGAGCACCUGCCAUGGGAAAUUACUUUCACUCAGUGACAAACCACUUUAGGGGCUCAAACAGAACAAUUUGAUUAUGAGGUUAGGCUCUAAUAAUAAACAAAUAGUUAAACACAUACAUACAUACGUGACACAAAUGUGUCUAAGCUUUAGACACAUUUUGCAGACCAUGAUGUAACAACAGAUAAUUUACUUGUAAUGGGACUAGAUGUUUAAAAACAACUUCCCAAGUCAUCAAUAAAUACCUCAGUCUGUUUUCCUCCUGUAACAUCUUUGCUCAUUUGUGAGAUGGUCUGGUAUUUUGAGACUCUCACAAAACUCACCCUUAUUGACUUUACCCACUCCCCAGGCAGGCAAGCUAGUUCUGGAAGGAAAAGAGCCACAAAAGUAUCAAGGAGAGGAAUAUGAAUGCCAACAGCCCUCCCAGAGGGAACUGGGCACCCCUGCCAUCCUAGCAUCAGAUGAGAAGCUGUGAGGCCAGACACCUACAGUUGCGUGAUGUGAGGCAAAUUCUUCCUUUCCCAUUGUUCACUAUACAAACUUUUACACAACUUCUUCCUUUUGAAAAGUAUUUAAUUUGAUAAAGCAGAUUACAACCAAUCUUGCCAAGACUAUGAAUUAGGCCCAGGUGUUUUCUGUGCUCUUUUAACCCUUUACGUGCCCUUGUUUUCUAAUCACUAGUGACGCCUUUCCAAGACCCCUCAGGUGCUCUCAGCACCUUUAUGUUCUUUCUGUUACCUGCCAAUCUAUACCUGCUGCUUGUUGCAAGGAACCUGGAAAUUUACGCAUCUUAAGAGGUUGAGAAUGACGCUGAAUCUGAUGCCUGUACCUGGGGAGGUUGCAGAAUCACAAGGUACAAAGAAAAAAAAUAAAAAUAUUGACAUUCAGAGAUUAAUAAAGGCUAAGAAAGGUAUAUUUCAGAUGGAGGCUGGGACAUGACAUUCUGUUCAGUUUGUGCUAACGCAGGUCACAGCCUCCAUCUUCCUUCAUGACUUGUCCUGAGGCAGGUGGGUAUGUGGAGGCUGGGAAUUGUGAAGCCUCUAGGGAGGCUCUCUCUCUCUCUCGACAUCAUUUACUAACCCUUUCAAACUUAGGUGGUGAAAGGAAGAGGUCAUUUAUUUUGUGAUGUUUUUAUUUAUUUGUCUUCGAUGUGGGCAAUUAUUUAUUUAUUUAUUUUGAGAUGGAAUUUCGCUCUUGUUGCCCAGGCUGGAGUGCAAUGGCACGAUCUCGGCUCACCACAACCUCCGCCUUCUGGGUUCAAGCAAUUCUCCUGCCUCAGCCUCCCGUGUAGCUGGGAUUACAGGCACGUGCCACCACGCCCGGCUAAUUUUUGUAUUUUUGGUAGAGACGGGGUUUCCCCAUGUUGGUCAGGCUGGUCUCGAACUCCUGGCUCUGGUGAUCCGCCCACCUCGGCCUCCCAAAGUGCUGGGAUUACAGGCGUGAGCCACCGCACCUGGCCUGGCAGUUUUUUAAAGAAGUUAACCCAAAAGUCAGGAAAGAACAUAAAAUUUAAAGCAGCUAAGUCAAAUAUGCUUUUUCUCCUUUGAAUUUACCCUGGAUCCUACUUCUUCUGGAAUCACAUGGACUAGAUUAAUAGUCUCUCAUGAAAAACCAACAGACAAAAAACAAAACAAAAAUAACAGUCCUAAAUUUUUAUGUUUGUCCACAAUGCUAGUGUGGUAGACAAUAUGGAGAGCACCAGGGCUGAGCAUAAGCAAAGGCUAUAAAACUGAUUCAGGUUUUCUUCAGAGAGCUUGUCUCCUCCUUCCCCUCCUUUCAGAAACUGCUGAUUCACUGGGCAAUAAGCGUAUUAGCAAAUCUAUAUUGAAUGCCAUUAUGUGCCAGGCACUGUGCUGCUAGGUGCUAGGGGCACAGGAGUAAAUAGACAUUAGAUUCAGCUUUCUUGACGCUUUCUUUCUAGUGGGAGAGAUGGACUUUAACGAGGUUUACUCACAAGUGAGUAUGUACCUACCCAACUUGAAACAAGUGCAGGAGUACUCAAUACCCAAUCUCACUUCCUUCUUGUGUGCCUUUCUAGAGUAAACAGUCUGGAAAAUUAAAACAAAUAAAUUAAUUAAAAGUUUCCUAUGUGUCCUAGUUGUGGUAUACAUUCUGCUAAUCAGAUGCAUUAGACUUUUAUUCAGAACCAGUUACUUGAGAGAGCCAGGAGACAGAAGAUUUAUUUGUCUGGCACAAAUUCUAGUGCAAGUAAAGCCAGCAAGUGUGGUGACAGCUUUCUGAUCAGGACUCAAGCAAAGGUGGAAGCUUUCUUAGCCUAGUUUUGUGGUAUGGUUUUUGAUACUCUUCCUGGAAUCUCAGGCUAGAGUCUGUUUCUUCAAGCCUCCUAACACAUUUCUUGUAAAGCUCUCCAGGUGAUGAGGGACACUAAAGUUUGAAAACCCCUAAUGGUUCUCAAUAACACACCACACCUAUCUUCUGAUCUCUUACAUCAAGGAGCAAAAACUGAGAAUUAUAAUGACAACAUUUGGGAAGAUUUAAAUAGCUCCAGCUACUCUGAAUACUCAAGUU